Molecule: long non-coding RNA, 1528 nt
Organism: Lotus japonicus
Lineage: Eukaryota; Viridiplantae; Streptophyta; Magnoliopsida; Fabales; Fabaceae
Exons: 3
Source: RefSeq, a predicted model, not a curated record
UGAGUUUUUAUUGUGAUUUGCUAGAUUUUGAUAGUUUUUAUCUAUAUUUAUUUAGUACAUUUUUAAAUUUUAGAUUUGAUUAGGAUUUAUGUUGUUUAUUUCAUGAUUUUAUCUUAAUAUAAAAUCUGUGAUAAGUGAUUUAAAUCAAUAAUACAUCUCAUCAGCAAAAACCCUCUUAAAACCCUGCCUACCUCUACUAUCUCCUCCAUGGAAUUCAUCUCCUCCAUGCAAUUUUCAUCUCAUCUCUCCACUGAACGGAACCACCCCCACAAAAUCGUCCCAUCUCUCAACGGAACCACUUUGCCAUCGACUUGCAAUCGCGUCCCUUCGAUUUGCUGCCUUGGACUGAUUGGGAAGGUUGCAGAUGGAGGUUUCAAAUUAUUUUCUUCCUUUGCUUGCAUAAUAUGUUAUGGUUUUUUUCAAUUUUAUUUUACUUUACCUUUAACUUUCAUUCACUCAUGUUUGACUUCAAGGUCAAUUUCGUUCAUCACUUGCCAUGCUAAUUUCAAAUUCUUUUCUUCAGGUUUCUUUUUUAUAGAUAUUCCACCAAAAGAGAUUCUUUGGAAGCCAUGGAUGGUGAGUCCAUUUUAUAUUCUAUAUGGAAUUUUGCAAUAUUUUGAUUUGUUUUUCAUGUUUUCUGAUUCUCCUUUGUAUGUGAUUCUAUUUUAUUUGUUUUUCUUAAUUUGCAUCUAAAAUUUGUGUCCUAUGUUAUAGGAGGUGAAACAUUGAUCUGUGUAUGUUUUGAUUAACCUAAUCAUUGUCAGUGAAGUAGAUUGAGGGAGUGAAAGAAUUUAGGGGAGAGAAAGGAGAAGUUGUAGAUUUUUUUCCUUGCAACUUUUUUAUUUGGUAAUUUUUUCUUUUUGCCUGCUUCUUACACCGAGGAAAUUAAUUAUUAUUGUUGGUGCUUGCCGUUACAACUACAAAACUACAUAUUAUGGAUGAGAUUUUACUGCUUAUCUUUGUUCGCUCAAGCUAUACUAUUGAGGUACAGAACAACAAUGAGGUACAUACCUCUUUCUGACUACACUCUCUGAUUCUCAGCUAGCUGAAGAUGAAACAUGAUUGAUGACUCAAGAUCUUAUCUUGCUCUCAUUUCAAAAUGCAGAUACUGCUGGAAGCUGCUGAUUUGGAAGCAAGUUUCAUUUGAAUUAGCAUGAGUUCAUAUUAAUUCAUGUUAAAGUUGGACAACAAUCAGGAAUAGCACCUAGGAUUGCUGCUGAUUUGAAAGCAAGUUUCAUUUGAUUUUUUAAUUAUAAAUAAAUAUUUUAAUGAUUUAAAUUCAAAAUGUGAUACCUUCUUACUUUAUGAAGUGCUUUUUUAUGCCAGAGAACAGACUCUGGUUGCAGUGAAAACAAAAUUUGCAUAUGAUGUUAGGUACUGUGUGAAAUUUGUGAGUGUGUUUGUGGAUAAUUUAUAAGAAAAUGGUGGUGAUAGUGAGGUAGAGAAAUCUGAGAGAGAUUUUGAUGUAAAUGGAGAUUUUUCUUUCUUAUGAGAUUGGACUUUUAACCCUUAUCUACACCAUUCGAAA